CUUUUUUUUUUUUUUUUUUCGCCUCAGCUGAAUAACUAAAGAUAUACCAACAAGGGGAAAGAUAAAGCCAAAUAAAUGGCAAGAUAGACAAAUCAUAAGUGAGAAGCAUGGGAGGCAUAAACAAAGAAGAUAAGGUGUGACAAAAGUGCAUAACAGCUUGCAGCACAUCAAGAGUAAAUUAAAGCCUCAGGCAAGGUAAACAAACAAGAAGGAAUCAUCCAAAUAAAGUUGUUAUUUCUUUUCAAUUUAGAUAUUUUAUGGCUAUUUUUUUUUCUCAAAGUUCAGCUGAAAAGACAAAAUCGCCAAAUAAUAUUAUAAGAAACCAAGAAAGAAUCUAGAACUAGAAACAAAGCAUGUAUUAGAAGAACCGUUAGAUAUUUUCAUAAUCCUACCUUUUUGUUCUAGUAAGAAGAAAUAUAGUUAUUUUGCCAAUAAUGUAAAUGUCAGAACCUGAAUAAUCCAACUGCAUC
Molecule: unclassified non-coding RNA, 470 nt
Filed under: Hevea brasiliensis (rubber tree)
Lineage: Eukaryota; Viridiplantae; Streptophyta; Magnoliopsida; Malpighiales; Euphorbiaceae
Source: RNAcentral